UACGUAGGGGGCAAGCGUUGUUCGGAAUUACUGGGUGUAAAGGGCUCGUAGGCGGUGCGGCAAGUUGGGAGUGAAAUCUCUGGGCUUAACCCAGAGGCUGCUUUCAAAACUGCUGUGCUUGAGUGUGAGAGAGGCUCGUGGAAUUGCAGGUGUAGCGGUGAAAUGCGUAGAUAUCUGCAGGAACACCCGUGGCGAAAGCGGCGAGCUGGAUCACUACUGACGCUGAGGAACGAAAGCUAGGGGAGCAAACAGG
Molecule: ribosomal RNA, 253 nt
Filed under: uncultured bacterium
Lineage: Bacteria
Description: partial 16S ribosomal RNA
Rfam family: Bacterial small subunit ribosomal RNA
Source: RNAcentral